GACGAACGCUGGCGGCGUGCUUAACACAUGCAAGUCGAACGGUGAAGCGCCUUCCUUUUUGGUGGGUGUGGAUGAGUGGCGAACGGGUGAGUAACACGUGAGUAACCUGCCCCCUUCUUCUGGAUAACCGCAUGAAAGUGUGGCUAAUACGGGAUAUUCUGGGUCUGUCGCAUGAUGGGUCUGGGAAAGAUAUUGUUUCGGUGGGGGAGGGGCUCGCGGCCUAUCAGCUUGUUGGUGGGGUGAUGGCCUACCAAGGCGGGGACGGGUAGCCGGCCUGAGAGGGUGGACGGUCACACUGGGACUGAGACACGGCCCAGACUCCUACGGGAGGCAGCAGGGGGGAAUAUUGCACAAUGGGCGCAAGCCUGAUGCAGCGACGCCGCGUGAGGGAUGGAGGCCUUCGGGUCGUGAACCUCUUUCGCCAGUGAAGCAGGCCUGCCUCGUUUGUGGGUGGGUUGACGGUAGCUGGAUAAGAAGCGCCGGCUAACUACGUG
Molecule: ribosomal RNA, 494 nt
Filed under: uncultured bacterium
Lineage: Bacteria
Description: partial 16S ribosomal RNA
Rfam family: Bacterial small subunit ribosomal RNA
Source: RNAcentral